Molecule: long non-coding RNA, 1469 nt
Organism: Apis laboriosa (Himalayan honeybee)
Lineage: Eukaryota; Metazoa; Arthropoda; Insecta; Hymenoptera; Apidae
Exons: 3
Source: RefSeq, a predicted model, not a curated record
GAGAAACUUCUUUGAUGGAUAUUCUCUUUACAAUGAUUUGUGAAAUUGGUUUCAAAAUACUAGAUUCGAAUGUUGCUCCAUGUUGCCAUGACGAAAACGGAACAGUGCAGGUUAAAGAGGCGAAGGGAAAGGCAGGUCAAAGCAGCGACGCACUGGCCAGGUGCGCAGACAUUCCACUCGCCUUGCGGUACGCUCACCCCUCUUUCCCCGGCCGCGAUUAUUUUCUACCUGGAGCGCCACGUUUAUUUCUUCAUGGCGGAUCGAACGAUAUAUUCGAUACAUCGAACCGAUCCGAAACGAUAUUGUGUGUAUGAAUGAAUUCUCCACGAAGAAGAUUUGAAGAGGUAUAAGGAUGGUGAUCGAAAGAAACAAAAAUGGCGGCUACUUGGCGCAUUUCUGAGUUAUAAGGAGCCUCUAUAAAUGAUCACAGAUACGUAUAUUGUCGACUAUGCCCUCGAUUCGAGGUGCUCCCUCCAUAACAUGAUCACGGCCUUGAUAACUUUACAUUGAAUCGAAGGAGAAUGAAGGAAACCUAACAAGCAACAGGUUAGCACGAUCUAACGUAAGGGGUGGGGAAAUGAGAGAAUAAAAAGAGCUAUGUAAGUACUUAUAGACAGAGAAGCAGAAAAGCAAUCAUCGUUGGAUUUGGUAGGAAUAUCCGUAGAAACGAAAUGCUUAGCACUACGUAAGAACAACGAUGUCGUGACAUGGAGACCGGAUUGGUCGGUCACCUGUUGCCCGCUAACUGUGAUUGGUCGGACUCGACAGCGCGUAACGACAGCCAGAGGAAGACAAGUGCAUUGUCGGUUGGUUUAUGAUGGACCAAGAUCAAAAAUAAAUACUACAAGAAUGUUAAUUUCAAUUCAUUCAAUUUUUGUUAUAUAUAUUUACAUACAUAUAUAUUAUUUGCUUUUCUUUGCGGACAAAUUAAUCAUAUUGAGAUUACAAAAUAGAUAUAUUCACAUAGAUUUUUAUCAAUCCUUGUGUUACAGAAUAGUAAACAAAUCCUGAUUAUUAUUUCAAUAAGUUAUUUACAAUGAAUUAAAGCUGUUUUUUUACAUAAAUAUUUAUAAGCAUUAUCUUCAAAUUAUUUACAUUUCCGGAUAAAAUUUGAGAACUUGUACGUGAGAUAAGAGGAAAAUACAUAUAUUUGAUGAGAAAUUUAAUUUAUUUAUUUAAAAUAUGAUUAAUGUCAAAUAAAAUAAAUAUGUGAUAAAUAAUGAAGAUGAAAUUUUUGCAAAUCGAAUAGAUAUAGAAAACUGAAUAAAUGACAAGAAUUGCGCGAGACUAGUCUUCGCUUGAGGAGCAAAGUCUGCGUUGAUGAUGGAAGGAAAGCCGGUUUACGAUAUCGGACUCUGAACUUUUCGUGUCUAUAUCUAAUAUCGAUUCUCUAUACUACUAUGCUGUUACAAAAUAAAUGCAAAUUUUAAGUGUUUUGUACAUUCAUUUGUUUUAAGGCUUUUAACAAA